AUUCCUGCACUCUCUAGGUCUGGUUUUUGCUUCCUCCCCCUGCAGCCCCCCUAGCAGCUCGGCGCUGCAAAAUGCCACCCGGCACCUGUCUGCCAGGAGCCUUUGUGUCUCCCCAAGUGCCCAAACCGUUUCCAAAAGAAAAGCAAAGAAACGCUCUUCUCCGACGGUGAAAGGGGAACUGACCUGUGAAAGAGGAAGUAUCCUUUCAAGGACAAGUGUUUCUCCCUGCCCCUCUUUUUUCUGUUUUUAUUAUGACUUUCAAUCCUCAUUCAUAGGUGGACCCUGAAGGUUACAGAUUUCUUAUUUAUUCACCCAUUCCUCCCCAAAUAAAAUGGAACCCAUAGGAUUUUACAAAAUGGAUCAGUGUGUUACAUUGAAGAGGAAGACCACUCACACUCAGAGUCACCGUGAUUGACCACUUUUUCUAAGAAGGAACAAGUAGUUAGCACGAUGUAAAUGUAGUGGGAUUGAAGGGAUUUGUUAGGGAAGAUGGAAGAAGGGACAGUAUUUGGAAAGAGAUGGCAAAGAGUGAGUGGGAUGUAGGGGUUGUGGGAGGUGGAAGAGGAAUCUAUUAUAUUAGACUCUUUAGCCACCUUUGAUUGUGAAAUAACUCCAGUAUGUUCUCAAAAUGAGUCACCUCAAAAGACUAUUUAUUCAUCACAAAAGGUGUAUAGCAAGCUGGCAUUUUGUUACUCAACAGAUUUGCUUCCAGCAUGUUCUCCAAGAUACCCCUUGCUAACUUACUAGUAUAAAUCUAUGGGCAUAAGCCCAAGUGCUGCAAAAUGAAUGCAGCAUUAUUCCAGCAAAGUUCUCGACCCAGUAUCUUUAUUGCUGAAGAAAGCUGGAGGAGGAAGCAGAGCACAUCUUGAUUUCUAGAAACCAGGUUGUUCAACAGUGCUGACAGUUUGAAAAAUCUUGUUCAGACUUGGAAAUUGAGAAAAUUUGAUAUGGAAGUUGCCAGUGAACUAUAAAUAUAGAACAGCUCUAUGUCAGUUUCACCAAGUGUCCUUCCUCCCCCUAUGUAUUCUUUAAGAAUAGUCUCACUGACUUGUAAUCCUGACCUAUUCAAAUUCUUCACAGAACUUCCAUAUUAGAAAUCUAAUCUACUCAUUGAUUUGGUUGAAUGCUAAAUUCCUCUAAUACAGACUGGUCUUCUCUGGUUAAAACAGGUUUCUUUGGUCAAAGCAAAACAAAUUCAGGAACGGAAACAAACUCCAAGGGUAGAUGCUCAAGCAUCCAGAAAAGAGGGACACCACAUUAUUAAAUUUGACACAGUGUUGACAGCAGAAGAUUAAAUAGCAAAAAGAAAUUCUUCACUUGUUGUGCUGGAGCCCCAUAGUGAUUAAUAAUGAUGAUGGAGCAUGGGGAAGAUAAAGAAAUGCUUGGAAACAUUAAGCACUAAGCAACAAGCUGGGGGGAUGAAACUGAGAGACUGAGAAGGCAAAAGUCAAGGACCAACUCUUCAAUCUGAAUGGGAAGCAGCAUGACCUAGUGGAUAGAGCAUGGCCUGGGUGUCAGAAGGAUCUAGGUUCUAAUUCAGAUCUGCCACUUGUCUACCGUCUGGCCUUGGGCAAGUCACUUCACUUCUCUGUGCUUCAGUUACCUCAUCUGUAACAUGAGGAUUAAGACUGUGAGCCCCACGUGGGACAUGGACUGUGCCCAGCCUGUUUAGCUUGUUAUCUACCAAUGCACUUAGUACAGAGCCUGGCACACAGUAAGCACUUAACAAAUGCCAUAAAACAAUGCAGGAAAAGAUAACUAUAUUCUAAGCAGAUUUAGACAAAUGUCUUGGGAAAGCAUGUCAGACUAUUGAUAACUUAAAAGGGAGUUUCUUCAGUUUUUUUCUAGUAAAUUUAUUGUGGCCGAAGGGAUGUUCCUUUGCACUUAUCCAACAUACCACCAACAUCAAACAUACCCCACAGUAGUAACUAAUGGCAGAAAAUGUGGUUUGACCCAUUACCACUCUCCUGGAGUGAACCACUCAAUUGAAUUCUUUUCUAGAAUUUGGUCUUUCCAGAUGGCAGUAACAAACCAAGGAUCCAUUUGAAGGUUUGGGACUAAUUUCUUCCAAACAUCAUAUUGGAUUAAGCUUGAAAAGGCAGCCACAUUCUCUUGAAUAUAGAGCCUAUCCAGACUAAUCAAAAUAGCUUACACAGCAGAUCAAACUGAAAGCAGUUAUUUCCCAAACGAGGCCCUUUACAUAAGAGCAAAACUCUGAGUGUGUAGCCAUCUGCCUGCCUUAUGACACAAUCAAAAUGAUUUUAAGAGUACUUAGGAAAGUUCGUGGUUCAUGUCCAGUUACCUCUAGUGAUAUCUCUCCCCUGAUUGUGUUUACCCAUUUAGACAUGGUCCCAGCCAGGUUCUGAGGCAUCAACUGAGGGACCAGGACCCAAGCUUAACUCCACCCUCCUUCAUCUUCAAAGAGCAUUCAGUGAUUUUAAAUACAUUUCAAAAGAUGUGAGAAACAGUUGGAAUUUGGGACAGAUUUCUACCAAAUUGUGCAGCUAAACUCAGCUUUGCCGCUCUCCUUUCCCUAAAAUAACUGAGGCAAUCAGUUCUCAUGAACAAAGAAAUGGAAAUGCAGACCAUCUAAAUUCAAACUUCAUGUUUUGUAUGUAUCAUACCUCUAUUCUGAAUGUCUGAUCAUCAGCCUGAAUAUUUUAUGUUAUUAUAUAUACUAAAAUAGGGCCAUUUCUAUGGAAGGAAACAUUUCAAAUAACUAUGGUUGAGUGCAUUAUACUGGUCUGGAAUGUAAUAAAAAAUAAUGAGCAUCAA
Long non-coding RNA from Tachyglossus aculeatus (Australian echidna), 2775 nucleotides. RefSeq lists it as uncharacterized. The transcript has 3 exons. The record is from RefSeq and is a predicted model, not a curated record. NCBI's taxonomy places the organism in Eukaryota, Metazoa, Chordata, Mammalia, Monotremata, Tachyglossidae.